This 204-nucleotide long non-coding RNA is filed under the name Solanum tuberosum (potato). Its description in RNAcentral is "long non-coding RNA (STUB_LNC004881)". Lineage: Eukaryota; Viridiplantae; Streptophyta; Magnoliopsida; Solanales; Solanaceae. The record is from RNAcentral.
UCAAGUUCAGCCAUUCAAAAAGGGUGUCUCGAACAGUGCUACACAAGACUCAAUCAUGAAUGCACACAACAAGACUCAAUUUAAUUAUUCAAAGAUCAAUUGUGUACUCAAAGAUUCAAGUUGUGACACACCAUUACCGAAGAUUCUCAAGCUCGCAAUACUUGCUUCAAAUGCAAGUUCAAGCUCAACAAAAGCCUUCCAAUG